Molecule: long non-coding RNA, 585 nt
Organism: Acyrthosiphon pisum (pea aphid)
Lineage: Eukaryota; Metazoa; Arthropoda; Insecta; Hemiptera; Aphididae
Exons: 3
Source: RefSeq, a predicted model, not a curated record
GUAGAUUUAUACAAAAUACAAAUUUUGGACCAAUACUAAAAGGUGUAUCACCUAAACACAAUUUCAGGAUGUUUUCGGUACCAAGAAAUUAGGCACAUAGUCUGGGAUUUUCUUGGUCAGUGUGUGUAAUGUACCACCACCACUUUUAUUGUGUUAUUUUUUUCCUACCUCCCCUUCCCCUUACGUUUCAACGGCCACCACCACUACCACCAACAACAGCAAAAGUACCAAUGCGAACAUGCGGCAAAUGGCAAUGUCCAACAGUGGGCUGGGGCCACCGAGACUGACGGAAUUGCUUGCAAAAAAACCAACUAUAAUACUAUAUCAAUUUUAUGAAUUGUAGUCUAUGUCAUUCCAUGGCGGUGAUAGGGACGACAUCAUUACUAUCUCACCGUUCAUUUUUUAUCACCACAGCAGUUUCAAAUUGAUUCAGAAGAAAAUAAUUUACUUGCUACUCAACCAACAGAAAUGUACCUUGAAGACGACGGGUGCCUUUAUUUGAUCCUAUCGAAACUAUUUGGUCCACUGCAAUGGAAAAAGACAGUUAAAGGUUUUGAACCAAAUAUCCAUUCAUGUACUCAAAAU